This 141-nucleotide small nucleolar RNA is filed under the name Zea mays. RNAcentral's name for it is "small nucleolar RNA snoR134". It matches the Rfam family "small nucleolar RNA snoR134". The record is from Rfam by way of RNAcentral. Lineage: Eukaryota; Viridiplantae; Streptophyta; Magnoliopsida; Poales; Poaceae.
CUGCACGGUGCUUACCCCGGGCUUGUCGGAUGUACUUGAAGAAGGAAGCCCCAAUGUCUGUGCUAGAUCCACUAUGCCAUUCAGUGUUGCAGGCCCUGAUGAAUUUUGUGAUUGGUCUGUGUCAAAGCAAUGGAUACAAAU